GCUGGGUGUGGUGGUGCAUGCCUGUAAUCCCAGUGACUCAGGAGGUCGAGGCAGGAGGAUCAUGAGUUCAAAGCCAGUCUCAGCAACUUAGCAAGGCCCUAAGCAAUGUAGUGAGACCCUGUCUCAA
This 127-nucleotide small RNA is filed under the name Marmota monax (woodchuck). Lineage: Eukaryota; Metazoa; Chordata; Mammalia; Rodentia; Sciuridae. The record is from RNAcentral.